RNAcentral lists this long non-coding RNA (1115 nucleotides) under Chloebia gouldiae (Gouldian finch). RNAcentral's name for it is "Erythrura gouldiae (Gouldian finch) lncRNA (ENSEGOG00005010754.1)". The record is from RNAcentral. Lineage: Eukaryota; Metazoa; Chordata; Aves; Passeriformes; Passeridae.
AUAAACUGGGACUGUACUGGGAUAAACUGGGGCCAUACUGGGAUCAUACUGGGAGUCACUGGGAGUUACUGGGGCCAUACUGGGAUGGACUGGGCCAUACUGGGGGAUACUGGGGCCAUACUGGGAGUCACCGGAGCCAUACUGGGAACCACUGGGAUCAUACUGGGAAUCAUUGGGGCCAUACUGGGAUCAUACUGGGGGAUACUGGGGCCAUACUGGGAGCCACUGGGGGAUACGGGGAUCAUACUGGGGGAUACUGGGGCCGUACUGGGAGUCACUGGGAUCAUACUGGGAAUCACUGAGGGGAUACUGGGAUGGACUGGGCCAUACUGGGGCCAUACUGGGAAUCGCGGAAGGGUACUGGGAUCAUACUGGGUCAUACUGGGAGUCACUGGGAGUUACUGGGGCCGUACUGGGAAUCACUGGGGCCAUACUGGGAUGGACUGGGGGAUACUGGGGCCAUACUGGGAGCCACUGGGGGAUACUGGGAUCAUACUGGGAGUCAUCGAGACCAUACUGGGAUCAUACUGGGAGUUACUGGGGCCAUACUGGGAAUCACAGGGUGAUACUGGGAUCAUACUGGGGGGAUACUGGGAUGGACUGGGCCAUACUGGGAAUCACUGGGAUCAUACUGGGAGUCACUGGGGGAUACUGGGAUCAUACUGGGAGUCACCGAGACCAUACUGGGAUCACAAUGGAAGGCACUGGGGCCAUACUGGGAUCAUACUGGGAGUAACUGGGGCCAUACUGGGAGUUACUGAGGCUGUACUGGGAGUCACUGAAGCCAUACUGGGGGAUACUGGGGCCGUACUGGGAAUCAUUGGGGCCAUACUGGGAGUCACUGGGAUCAUACUGGGCCAUACUGGGAUGGACUGGGCCAUACUGGGAAUCACUGGGGGGAUACUGGGACAUACUGAGAGUCACUGGGGCCAUACUGGGAAUCACUGGGAUCAUACUGGGCCAUACUGGGAAUCACUGGGAGUCACUGGGGCUGUACUGGGAGGCACUGGGGCCAUACUGGGAAUCACUGGAAUCAUACUGGGCCAUACUGGGAAUCACUGGGAGUCACUGGGGCCGUACUGGGGGAUACUGGGGCCAUACUGGGAAUCACUGGA